UCAGAUGAGCUGUGGGUAGGGGUGAAAGGCCAAUCAAACUAGGAAAUAGCUCGUACUCCCCGAAAUGCAUUUAGGUGCAGCCUCGAGGUUGAGUUUUAUAGAGGUAGAGCUACUGAUAGGGCUAGGGGGCUUCACCGCCUACCAACCCCUGACAAACUCCGAAUGCUAUAAAAUAUACUCGGGAGUGAGGGCAUGGGUGCUAAGGUCCAUGUCCGAGAGGGAAAGAACCCAGACCAUCGGCUAAGGUCCCAAAAUAUAUGUUAAGUUGAUCAAACGUUGUGCGAUUGCAUAGACAGCUAGGAUGUUGGCUUGGAAGCAGCCAUUCAUUUAAAGAGUGCGUAACAGCUCACUAGUCGAGCGAUCGUGCGUGGAUAAUAAUCGGGCAUUAAACAUAUUACCGAAGCUGUGGAUUUUAUAUUUAUAUAAUCUGGUAGGGGAGCAUUCUAUGGGCGUUGAAUGUGUGGCGUAAGCCAUGCUGGAGCGCAUAGAAAAGCAAAUGUAGGAAUAAGUAACGAUAAAGCAGGCGAGAAACCUGCUCACCGAUAGACUAAGGUUUCCUGAGCGACGCUAAUCGUCUCAGGGUUAGUCGGGACCUAACGCGAACCCGAAGGGGGUAGUGGAUGGACAAUGGGUUAAUAUUCCCAUACUUGUUGUAACUGCGAUGGGGUGACGGAGUAAUGAACAGACCGCGUACUGACGGAAUAGUACGUUAAAGGGUGUAGAUAUUGGAAUUGUAGGUAAAUCCGCAGAUCUAGUCGAACCUGAUAGUACCACAAAGCUUCGGCUGCGUGGAUAGUGUCUCUAAGCGCUUCCAAGAAAAACCUCUAAGCUUCAGGUUACAACAACUCGUACCGUAAACCGACACAGGUAGUCAAGGAGAGAAUCCUAAGGUGCUCGAGUGAUUCAUGGCUAAGGAACUAGGCAAAAUGGUCUCGUAACUUCGGGAGAAGAGACGCCAACAGUAAUGUUGGCCGCAGUGAAUAGGCCCAGGCGACUGUUUAUCAAAAACACAUGGCUUUGCAAAAACGAAAGUUGACGUAUAAGGCCUGACACCUGCCCGGUGCUGGAAGGUUAAGAGGAGAUGUUAGAUUCGUCGAAGCAUUGAAUUGAAGCCCCAGUAAACGGCGGCCGUAACAAUAACGGUCCUAAGGUAGCG
RNAcentral lists this ribosomal RNA (1156 nucleotides) under Paraphysomonas imperforata. RNAcentral describes it as "partial Bacterial large subunit ribosomal RNA". It matches the Rfam family "Bacterial large subunit ribosomal RNA", at positions 800 to 1961 of the family's 2925-position model. Lineage: Eukaryota; Chrysophyceae; Chromulinales; Paraphysomonadaceae. The record is from RNAcentral.